RNAcentral lists this long non-coding RNA (331 nucleotides) under Homo sapiens (human). RNAcentral's name for it is "HSALNT0407835". The record is from RNAcentral. Lineage: Eukaryota; Metazoa; Chordata; Mammalia; Primates; Hominidae.
AACUUCCAUCCCGCAAUUCCGCUGAACUCGGCCCGAAAAGCCCCCUCUUGCCUCAAUUCCCCGAAGUAAAUCUGAGCUUUGUGCAGCUCCGGAGCCAGAGCGUCCAGAUGCGGUCCGGGAGAUUAGCAAAGUCGGUGGAAGCCAAGCUGGAGAAAGCGCGGGCGCAGGGAGAAAAGUAGCCCCAAGUGCCCUGCAUUUGCUCUUCUAACAAAGUUCUGUUUGUUGACGGACUGACCGGCUUACCGACACAAAGAUGGGAAGCAAAUGGAGAGACGGAUCAAGGCCCUUCCUCGGCAUCUGGAGGAAGCUUGGGCGAGUGUCUUGGUCGCCA